This 625-nucleotide long non-coding RNA is filed under the name Homo sapiens (human). Its description in RNAcentral is "HSALNT0278880". The record is from RNAcentral. Lineage: Eukaryota; Metazoa; Chordata; Mammalia; Primates; Hominidae.
CCAGGAACAGCCGGGCUGCGAGGCCAUGACCCAGGGCCUGGGAACACAGUGAGGCCUGGCCAUGCUGCGAGGCCUCAGAGGGGCGGACUGCUUAGGAGGCCAACGACCUUCCUAAGGGUGGGCAGUCAGGGAAGGGCCAACAGCAUGCCCGCUGUGUCCUCAGGCGGGCCCUCCCUCCCUGGGACCCUCCCAGUGCCAGCCUCCUGCCUGGGCCAGGCUGGGAGCUCCCUGACUGCUCUGGUCCCUGGGCUGCUCCCACGAGCCUGACUCUGACGGUGUCUGCUGCACAUCAUCCGCGGAGUCCCGAGUUUCGGCCACUGCGGUCGUCCCCAUUUCACAGCCAGGAAACAGAGGACAGGGGAAGUCAACUGGAGGUCACGCGGUGAUGGGGAAACCAAGGCUGGCGGGAGGAGCAGCAGGAGCACAUCCGUGGACUCUAAGUCAGCACCCUGCCUGCACACGCAGCCCCAAUCCCCAUAGUGAGGUUUGCCUCCCCGGCAUGAACCAGGAACGUCCGGCCUCAUCGGGAGGCUGGCACCAAAAUCCAUUCUAUGUGGGUGAAGGCACCUACAGGGAGCAUGCAUGGGCCAUGGGAGGUGUGCCCUCACCAGCCUGAGAAUCACGG